Dermacentor silvarum is the source of this 2263-nucleotide long non-coding RNA. RefSeq lists it as uncharacterized. The transcript has 3 exons. The record is from RefSeq and is a predicted model, not a curated record. NCBI's taxonomy places the organism in Eukaryota, Metazoa, Arthropoda, Arachnida, Ixodida, Ixodidae.
UCCCAGUCGUUAAGCUCGUCCUCGUGGGUAUCAUACAGCACCUUGGCGGUGCCUUGUAGGUAGUAAACCAAGUUAGCUAGCAUAAUAGUCGGAUCUCAUUUGUUGCGGGCACUUACCCGCUCAUACGCAGCCUGAUGUUACAUAGAAAUAGAGAGCAUGGCAUGCAGAAUGGCCCAUUUUUAGGGCAGAACCUGCAAGUUCAGGAGUUUCCUCAAUUUAUCUGUGUCCGUUUGCAUGACAGUGCUGUAAUGAGUCGGGUCCCAAAUGGCUGAGUAAAAUUCAAGCUUUGAACGAACAGAUGUAUUACCAUGAGUUAUUUUGUGUUCACAUAGAAGAGAUCUAAAUUUUACCGUAGACAUCCAACAGAUUAAUUGGCGUUGCCUAUGAUGUGCUGAAUAUGUACAUGGUCAUGAAAGGUUAGUAGUAAAAUGAAGGCCAGGACACUUUCAGAAAACAAAAGUUUUCAGAGCUGUACCAAUAAGAGAAUAUUGCGGCAUGUUCUAAGUGCUGGGACGACGAGAUAUGCACAUUCUCUUCUGCUUGUUAGUAUUUAAUUACAUGCACAAGUCACUGCCCCAGAAUAAGUUUUAAAUGAAAUCGAGAAAGAUGCAACGAGUAUAGAAACCAAAGUCAGCAUUAAUGAAAUAGUCGUUAUCGAACGAUAUGAAUUGUGUUCAACAUCCAGAGCAAAAAUUCCUUGAGCUGGAAAUCUCAAGAAAUACACCUUGAGCUGGAUUUACAGCUCAAGCAGUAUAAUUAUAUUAUCUCUUAGAUGUAUUUUAAGAGUUCCAUAGCACCUAAAUAUGACCACCCCGUGUCAGAUUUUCAGUGUCGUGAUACGAUGGUCUUCAUUUUUUUAUUCAGGCCAGUACGAAGUAAUAGGAAACUAAAGUCAGUGAAAGCGUAGCAAUUAUUCGGGACGUUUAAUUAGAAUGUAGAAAAGAAAACUUAAAGGUAAGUGAAAGUGGACUGAAAAACAAGUUGCCGCAAACGGGUGCACAGUCCAUAUCCUCCGCAUUACGUUUAAUUUCAUUUACGAAUCGAACUACCACGGCUGCUGUCCUUUGCGAUCUCUCUUGGGUAUUCGUGGCAUGCAUACAGGAUUAGCCCAGGGAGUGUUCUCAAGCGCUACUCACGGUCAUGACAGUGUACGUGCAACGCCCUCGUAGCCACAGUCGUCAAGUAGUACUGGAGCAUAGGAACAAUGAGUCUGCCUAUAAACCCUGGUGCGCUACUUCAUGACAUAAAGACUGCCAAAUUCCGGGUAUUCGCUACACAAUGAAUCAAAAGAAUUUUUUUUUCGGAAGAGGCCCGAUUUCAAUGCCAAGCACUCUUUGGCCCAUCGAAGGCAUUUCGCAAUAGCUAUUCAAUGUGAUCAGGACCAGUGUUGGUUCUUCAAGUCUUUGUUGAUAUUACAGGUAUACGUUUGGUCUCAUAUCCAACUGCCAAAAUUUUCCAACGAAAAUACCAGUGGACCGUGUUAUUUUUUAAAUGCAAAACAUGAUGUGAAAUAUGCAGCGGUCUAUAAAAAUUACAUUUUAGAAGUGUGAAAUAUUUCAUUGUUUUUAGUAUAUUUCACAUGAAGGACAAAAGGUAGUGUGAACAUUACAUGUAUUUGGUCCCUUAAUUUACCUGCAAUUUCGCGUACAAAAGACAGCGCAUUGUCUAUGAUCGAACUGCCUAAUUUCUUCUAAUUCGCACCUGUUUCUAAAGAAACGUCAUAUGUUGCUAAUUGCUUCAUUUAUUGGGUAGGAUAAGACUUGUAUCUAAAGGAAACAGAAUUCCUACGUUUUGCGCUUUUUUGCAAAGGAACUACAUCAUAUAAAAAAUGUUCAAUAUUUCAUUUUUAUUCAAUUAGGUUGAAAAUUACAAUAAAGGCGGAGGCUGAAGAGAUACCAUUGCGCAUGAUGCGCGCUUCUGAGCGUGGCAGGAAUGCACCAUCGCAGCGGAGAGGGCACUGUGUCGUCAGCGCAAGUUGUGGCCGCAGUGGCGGCACCUAUCCUAUUAUGACCUCCGUGUUUGGAAUUCCAUGGUUCGGCGAGGCCCUCACGAAAAAUGCGCUACACGAUUCAGGAAGCUGGCGCCAAACGGACACGUCAUUUAUGAGCAGAGGUGCCAGGGCAUUCUGCACAAUAACGGCUCUUCUAUUUCAGAAAGAAAAAGCACGAAUAACUGAAAGAACAGGGCCAUUUCAAUAACUUUAUUGAUGUAGUGGCAUCAAAAUAUAGAACAAAUAAACGAAGACCAUGGCAGCACUGUUUUA